RNAcentral lists this ribosomal RNA (445 nucleotides) under Micrococcus sp. oral taxon F54. Its description in RNAcentral is "bacterial SSU rRNA". It matches the Rfam family "Bacterial small subunit ribosomal RNA", at positions 28 to 484 of the family's 1533-position model. Lineage: Bacteria; Bacillati; Actinomycetota; Actinomycetes; Micrococcales; Micrococcaceae. The record is from RNAcentral.
GAUGAACGCUGGCGGCGUGCUUAACACAUGCAAGUCGAACGAUGAAGCCCAGCUUGCUGGGUGGAUUAGUGGCGAACGGGUGAGUAACACGUGAGUAACCUGCCCUUGACUCUGGGAUAAGCCCGGGAAACUGGGUCUAAUACCGGAUAGGAGCGCCUGUCGCAUGACGGGUGUUGGAAAGAUUUUUCGGUCAUGGAUGGACUCGCGGCCUAUCAGCUUGUUGGUGAGGUAAUGGCUCACCAAGGCGACGACGGGUAGCCGGCCUGAGAGGGUGACCGGCCACACUGGGACUGAGACACGGCCCAGACUCCUACGGGAGGCAGCAGUGGGGAAUAUUGCACAAUGGGCGGAAGCCUGAUGCAGCGACGCCGCGUGAGGGAUGACGGCCUUCGGGUUGUAAACCUCUUCAGUAGGGAAAGAAUGCGAAAAGUGACGGUACCUGCAG